This 497-nucleotide long non-coding RNA is filed under the name Struthio camelus australis. Its description in RNAcentral is "lncRNA (ENSSCUG00000007563.1)". The record is from RNAcentral. Lineage: Eukaryota; Metazoa; Chordata; Aves; Struthioniformes; Struthionidae.
GGGGGUACUGGGAGCCGGUCGGGGAGGCCUGGGCCAGGUACUGGGAGGGGCUUGGGGGAGCACUGGGGGAAAUGGGAGGGAACUGGUGGUACUGGGAGCUCCGCUGGCACCAGGGCUCUGUCCCCAUGGCCCCGACUGUGCCGUGCUGCGGUGUCCCUGGUGUCACUGGCCUCCUUGGUAACAUCAGUGUUGCUUGUGUCCCCGGUGUCCCCCAUUGUCAGUUGAGUCCCCGGUGUCCCUGUUGUGAGUUGUGUCCCCAUUGUCACGGGCGUCCCUGUUGUUCCCAUUGUCCCCGUCGUCAGUUGUGUCCCCAGUGUCACGGGUGUCCCUGUCGUCCCCAGCGUCCCUGUUGUGCCUGGUGUCGGUUGUGUCCCCAGAGUCACAGGUGUCCCUGUUCCCAUUGUCCCUGGUGUCAGUGGUGUCCCCAUUGUCACGGGUGUCCCUGGUGUCCCCAGCGUCCCUGUUGUGCCUGGUGUCGGUUGUGUCCCCAGUGUCAC